UCUGGGAUUAGAUACCCUGUUAUUUUAAAUAUAAUUAUAAAAAAUUAAAGUAGUAAUAGUUAUGAACUUGAAACUUAAAAAAUUUGGCGGUAUUUUAGUCUAUUCAGAGGAACUUGUUUUAUAAUCGAUAAUCCACGUUGGACCUUUCUUAAAUUUGUAAUCAGUUUAUAUACCGUUGUUAUUAAAAAAUUUUAUAAGAAUAUUAAUUUUUAUAAUUUUAAAAUAAAAAAUAUAUCAGAUCAAGGUGUAGCUUAUGUUUAAGUAAAAAUGAGUUACAAUAAAUUUAUUUAAAUGAAUAUAAAUUUGUAAUGUUUAUUGAAGGUGGAUUUGAUGGUAAAAUUAUAUAGAUUAAUAAUUUGAUUUUAGCUCUAAAAUAUGUACAAAUCGCCCGUCACUCUCUG
This 401-nucleotide ribosomal RNA is filed under the name Dinera xuei. Its description in RNAcentral is "partial 12S ribosomal RNA". The record is from RNAcentral. Lineage: Eukaryota; Metazoa; Arthropoda; Insecta; Diptera; Tachinidae.